UAGGGAAUCUUCGGCAAUGGACGAAAGUCUGACCGAGCAACGCCGCGUGAGUGAAGAAGGUUUUCGGAUCGUAAAACUCUGUUGUUAGAGAAGAACAAGGACGUUAGUAACUGAACGUCCCCUGACGGUAUCUAACCAGAAAGCCACGGCUAACUACGUGCCAGCAGCCGCGGUAAUACGUAGGUGGCAAGCGUUGUCCGGAUUUAUUGGGCGUAAAGCGAGCGCAGGCGGUUUCUUAAGUCUGAUGUGAAAGCCCCCGGCUCAACCGGGGAGGGUCAUUGGAAACUGGGGGACUUGAGUGCAGAAGAGGAGAGUGAAAUUCCAUGUGUAGCGGUGAAAUGCGUAGAUAUAUGGAGGAACACCAGUGGCGAAGGCGGCUCUCUGGUCUGUAACUGACGCUGAGGCUCGAAAGCGUGGGGAGCAAACAGG
Molecule: ribosomal RNA, 429 nt
Filed under: Gemmatimonadota bacterium
Lineage: Bacteria; Pseudomonadati; Gemmatimonadota
Description: Gemmatimonadetes bacterium partial 16S ribosomal RNA
Rfam family: Bacterial small subunit ribosomal RNA
Source: RNAcentral